Molecule: ribosomal RNA, 448 nt
Filed under: uncultured bacterium
Lineage: Bacteria
Description: bacterial SSU rRNA
Rfam family: Bacterial small subunit ribosomal RNA
Source: RNAcentral
CGCCAGACUCCUACGGGAGGCAGCAGUGGGGGAUAUUGCACAAUGGGGGAAACCCUGAUGCAGCGACGCCGCGUGGGCGAAGAAGUAUUUCGGUAUGUAAAGCCCUAUCAGCAGGGAAGAAGAAAUGACGGUACCUGAGUAAGAAGCACCGGCUAAAUACGUGCCAGCAGCCGCGGUAAUACGUAUGGUGCAAGCGUUAUCCGGAUUUACUGGGUGUAAAGGGAGCGUAGACGGCGAUGCAAGUCUGAAGUGAAAGGCGGGGGCCCAACCCCCGGACUGCUUUGGAAACUGUAUGGCUGGAGUGCAGGAGAGGUAAGUGGAAUUCCUAGUGUAGCGGUGAAAUGCGUAGAUAUCAGGAGGAACACCGGUGGCGAAGGCGGCUUACUGGACAGUGACUGACGUUGAGGCUCGAAAGCGUGGGGAGCGAACAGGAUUAGAUACCCUGGUA